This 560-nucleotide unclassified non-coding RNA is filed under the name Pseudanabaenaceae cyanobacterium WJT66-NPBG6B. Its description in RNAcentral is "16S-23S ribosomal RNA intergenic spacer". The record is from RNAcentral. Lineage: Bacteria; Bacillati; Cyanobacteriota; Cyanophyceae; Pseudanabaenales; Pseudanabaenaceae.
UAACAGGGAGACCUACCCGCUCUUAUCACCGAAAGCAACUAGUUAAUAGGUGAAGAGUUGGUCAUCCCAAGGUCGAACGAGGUAUAAGUGUAGGCUUUCAAACUAUUUCCGGGUUUAACAUCACUUCGGUGGCAAAACCACUCCUUGAGAGUACGGUUUUGACCACUGAGGUUCUUCUUUGGAACCAGUAUAGUAGUGGAUGUGGAUGUUGAAUCGGUUGAGACCAAGACCUCAACGAAGUGAAGAAAACGCUCAGCAAACAACCCUAAAAAAGCUUGGUUGUUUCCCCACAAACCAAAAUAGAUUCGCUACAGUAAUAAAUGUGGCAAACGAGCUAGCCAGUUCCAGCGAGUGGACUGAUACUAACCCACCAGGAUUUGAGCCAAUUGGAUAGAUGACUUCAGCAACUUAUCUAGUUUGUGAUUGGACUAGAGAGCCUGCUGGAUUUUGAACUCCAGUCAUGAACCUUGAAAAUUGCAUAGCAACUUGUCAGGUAGUUAGUGAAAGCUGAACGAAUGUUCAGAGAUUCACUAAUCACAGACACCAAUGUAAGAAAUUGU